RNAcentral lists this ribosomal RNA (803 nucleotides) under Frankliniella occidentalis (western flower thrips). RNAcentral describes it as "eukaryotic LSU rRNA". It matches the Rfam family "Eukaryotic large subunit ribosomal RNA", at positions 1 to 634 of the family's 3401-position model. Lineage: Eukaryota; Metazoa; Arthropoda; Insecta; Thysanoptera; Thripidae. The record is from RNAcentral.
GACCUCAGUUCAGGUGAGAUUACCGGCUGAAUUUAAGCAUAUUACUAAGCCGAGGAAAAGAAACUAACAAGGAUUCCCCUAGUAGCAGCGAGCGAACAGGGAAGAGCCCAGCGCUGAAUCCCCCGGGCCUCGCUCGGCGGGAAAUGUAGCGUUUGGGAGGGCCCGUCAACACGGCGACUCGCUCACUGGUUCAAGUCCAACUUGAAUGGGGCCACACAGAGGGUGACAGGCCCGUAGAGCAGGAGCGGUUGUCGUGUGGGUCUCUCCUUAGAGUCGGUUUGCUUGAGAGUGCAGACUUAAGUGGGUGGUAAACUCCAUCUAAGGCUAAAUAUGACCACGAGACCGAUAGCACACAAGUACCGUGAGGGAAAGGUGAAAAGAACUUUGAAGAGAGAGUUCAAGAGUACGUGAAACUGAAGUGGUGUAAACGGACGAGUUCGAAAAGUCCGAAUGGUGAGAUUCAAGCUUACCGUGCCGGUGGCCCUCGGGUUCAGAUGGCGUCGUCAGCUCGGGCUUCGGUUCGGGUCAUACGGCGUCACUCGUCCUGGGGGUAUCUGUCUGGUGCGGUGGGCUGCACUUCUCGCCUAGUAGGACGUCGCGACCCGUUGGGAUGUUCCGUUCACUGGCCCUCGGUGGAGCCCGCGCCGGAGCGUGGCCUUGUGCCGCGUUGCUGUUUGCACGGACCCGGGGUGACCUGAUCGGCGCCCGACGGUAUCAAAGCUUGGGAAGAGGCCGCACAGAGGAUGCGUUCGAUGGCCGUUUCGGCCUACACUCGGACAGGCCUGCACCCGGUCAGCGGCGCU